CCUACGGGCGGCUGCAGUGAGGAAUAUUGCACAAUGGGCGAAAGCCUGAUGCAGCAACGCCGCGUGAGCGAAGAAGGCCUUUGGGUCGUAAAGCUCUGUCCUUGGGGAAGAAAAAAAUGACGGUACCCUUGGAGGAAGCCCCGGCUAACUACGUGCCAGCAGCCGCGGUAAUACGUAGGGGGCGAGCGUUAUCCGGAAUUAUUGGGCGUAAAGAGUGCGUAGGUGGUCUUGUAAGCGUGGGGUGAAAGGCAGUGGCUUAACCAUUGUUAGCCUUGCGAACUGUGAGACUUGAGUGCAGGAGAGGAAAGUGGAAUUCCUAGUGUAGCGGUGAAAUGCGUAGAUAUUAGGAGGAACAUCAGUGGCGAAGGCGACUUUCUGGACUGUAACUGACACUGAGGCACGAAAGCGUGGGGAGCAAACAGGCUUAGAUACCCCAGUAGUC
RNAcentral lists this ribosomal RNA (442 nucleotides) under uncultured Anaerovorax sp. RNAcentral describes it as "bacterial SSU rRNA". It matches the Rfam family "Bacterial small subunit ribosomal RNA", at positions 338 to 795 of the family's 1533-position model. Lineage: Bacteria; Bacillati; Bacillota; Clostridia; Peptostreptococcales; Anaerovoracaceae. The record is from RNAcentral.